This 852-nucleotide ribosomal RNA is filed under the name uncultured fungus. Its description in RNAcentral is "SSU rRNA". It matches the Rfam family "Eukaryotic small subunit ribosomal RNA", at positions 563 to 1432 of the family's 1831-position model. Lineage: Eukaryota; Fungi. The record is from RNAcentral.
UGUGCCAGCAGCCGCGGUAAUUCCAGCUCCAAUAGCGUAUAUUAAAGUUGUUGCAGUUAAAACGUCCGUAGUCAAACUUUAGUCUUACUGGCGUAGUGGCCUGGUCUUCAUUGACCAAGCUCAUUGCUGCCGGAGACUCCAUGUUCAUUAGGGGAAAAUCUCUAGGGGUUUUUUUCUUAUUUGAACAAUUACCAUGAGCAAAUCAGAGUGUUUAAAGCAGGCUUUUAAGCUUGAAUGUGUUAGCAUGGAAUAAUGAAAUAUGACUUUAGUCCUAUUUUCGUUGGUUUAGGUACUUCAGUAAUGAUGAAUAGAAACGGUUAGGGGCAUUUGUAUUUGGUCGCUAGAGGUGAAAUUCUUGGAUUGACCGAAGACAAACUACUGCGAAAGCAUUUGACCCGGGACGUUUUCAUUGAUCAAGGUCUAAAGUUAAGGGAUCGAAGACGAUUAGAUACCGUCGUAGUCUUAACCACAAACUAUGCCGACUAGAGAUUGGGCGUGUUUAUUAUGACUCGCUCAGCAUCUUAGCGAAAGUAAAGUUUUUGGGUUCUGGGGGGAGUAUGGGACGCAAGGCUGAAACUUAAAGGAAUUGACGGAAGGGCACCACCAGGAGUGGAGCCUGCGGCUUAAUUUGACUCAACACGGGGAAACUCACCAGUCCAGACAUAGUAAGGAUUGACAGAUUGAAAGCUCUUUCUAGAUUCUAUGGGUGGUGGUGCACGGCCGUCUUAGUUCGUGGAGUGAUUUGUCUGGUUAAUUCCGAUACGACGAGACUUAUUCUGCUAUAGACAGGCACUCUUCGGUUGGUCUAUAUUAUAUAUUUCACUGGCUUCUUAGAGAGACUAUCGGCUUCAG